RNAcentral lists this ribosomal RNA (164 nucleotides) under uncultured bacterium. RNAcentral's name for it is "partial 16S ribosomal RNA". It matches the Rfam family "Bacterial small subunit ribosomal RNA", at positions 355 to 511 of the family's 1533-position model. The record is from RNAcentral.
UAGGGAAUCUUCCACAAUGGACGCAAGUCUGAUGGAGCAACGCCGCGUGAGUGAAGAAGGGUUUCGGCUCGUAAAGCUCUGUUGUUAAAGAAGAACGUGGGUAAGAGUAACUGUUUACCCAGUGACGGUAUUUAACCAGAAAGCCACGGCUAACUACGUGCCUG